This 255-nucleotide ribosomal RNA is filed under the name Listeria monocytogenes. RNAcentral's name for it is "partial 16S ribosomal RNA". It matches the Rfam family "Bacterial small subunit ribosomal RNA", at positions 57 to 300 of the family's 1533-position model. Lineage: Bacteria; Bacillati; Bacillota; Bacilli; Caryophanales; Listeriaceae. The record is from RNAcentral.
GCAAGUCGAACGAACGGAGGAAGAGCUUGCUCUUCCAAAGUUAGUGGCGGACGGGUGAGUAACACGUGGGCAACCUGCCUGUAAGUUGGGGAUAACUCCGGGAAACCGGGGCUAAUACCGAAUGAUAGAAUGUGGCGCAUGCCACGCUUUUGAAAGAUGGUUUCGGCUAUCGCUUACAGAUGGGCCCGCGGUGCAUUAGCUAGUUGGUAGGGUAAUGGCCUACCAAGGCAACGAUGCAUAGCCGACCUGAGAGGG